RNA transcript from Drosophila eugracilis, 1377 nucleotides. It is a transcript of the gene named WW domain-binding protein 2, with no coding region annotated. The record is from RefSeq and is a predicted model, not a curated record. Lineage: Eukaryota; Metazoa; Arthropoda; Insecta; Diptera; Drosophilidae. The transcript has 8 exons.
UCUAUCUAUGAUUCAUCAGCUGUCGUCAGUUUUUAGAGAAAAACAAAACGUAGUUGUGUGAAAUUAGUGCAAAUUUUUGGUGAUUAUAGUUGGAUAAAGCACUCGACAUGUCGGUUAAUACGGCCCACGCCAACAAUGGCGUGCUCAUCCAUGCGGGAGAGUACAUACUGCUCCACAGCGACAGCGUUUCGAUGGAGUUUUCUGGUCAAGAUAAUCCCAUUUUCAAGGGCUCGAAAGGGGGCAGGAUUUAUCUCACCUCCCAUCGGAUGAUCUUCAACAGCAAGAAGUCCUCGGAUGCGAUGCAGUCCUUCAGUGCUCCAUUUGUUGCCCUCUCAGAUGUGGAGAUUGAACAGCCGGUGUUUGGGGCUAACUACAUCAAGGGAAAGGUCCGCGCUCAGCCAAAUGGGAACUACGUCGGCGAAGUCAAGUUCAAGCUUCAUUUCAAGGCCGGUGGUGCCAUCGAAUAUGGCCAGGCCCUAUUGCGCUCCGCCAAGACGGCAAUGAACAACUAUCAUCGCGGAGGACUGGUCGGUGAUGAUCCUCCACCAUACCAGCCGGCUGGCGCUUGGAACGAGGCUCCACCACCAGCCUAUCAGCCGCCACCUGGUUACUACGGCUGGUUGCCGCAGCACGAUGCCUUCAGUGGCCCUGCACCGAAUACGGUGUUUAUGAGCGACAAUCCGCCGCCAUAUCCCGGGAUCGCACCACCGGCACAACAGCCACCAGCACCACAACAGCCGCAGGGACCGUCAUCGAAUGAACCCAAUUGGUACGGUUUUUCAGCACCUCCACCGCAGCAGCAACAACAGCAGCCAGGUUAUGGGCCCCAAGGAUGGGCUGGUGGCUAUGUUCAGCCCCCGCCGUACGCAUCCUGUGCUCCUAACUGUCCACCUGGACCGCCUUACGCCGCCCCGGCUCAAACGUACACUGGACCACAGCCUUAUGGAGGUUACGGAAAUGUUCCCGGUGGAUUUAACACUCCGGGACUUCAACAGCCAGCUGGGUAUCCUAAUGGCUAUCCAGGUGGACCACCGCCUCCGGCUCAACAAGCAGCAGGAGCAGCCGGAGGAGCUGCUGCAUCUGGAGCUAACUUUAUGGGUUUCAGCUUGCCACCAGGAAUGUAAUAAAAAGCAAACUACUGUACCUCAAAUAGCCAUCCCGACAAUAGCAAGAUUUGGCAGCACUCAUCAUUAUUUCUAUCCAAUCCAAAGACCCAUGUGUGUUGUGCUGCUCCCAGCUCUGAUACCAUAAACACAAAUUAUUCCAAAGAGGCAGAGGCUGCAGCAAGUGCUUAUAACACACCCUAUAACCAAGGAGGACCCAGUGGAUCAGGAAACAGUGAUUUACCGCCUUCAUAUAUGAACUUGCCACCCAGCU